Long non-coding RNA from Esox lucius (northern pike), 560 nucleotides. Lineage: Eukaryota; Metazoa; Chordata; Actinopteri; Esociformes; Esocidae. The record is from Ensembl.
GUCUAUGUGUCUCUGUGGGUCUACAGGUCUAUGUGUGUCUGUGGGUCUACAGAUCUAUGUGUGUCUGUGGGUCUACAGGUCUAUGUGUGUCAGUCUGGCUCCACAGGUCUGUGUCUGUGGCUCUACAGGUCAAUGUGGGUCAAUGUGUGUCAGUCUGGCUCUACAGGUCUGUGUGCGUGUGUGUGUGCGUGUGUGUCUGCAGGGGUGCGUGUGUGUCUGCAGGGGUGCGUGUGUGUCUGCAGGGGUGCGUGUGUGUCUGCAGGGGUGCGUGUGUGUCUGCAGGGGUGCGCGCGUCUGCAGGUGUGCGCGCGUCUGCAGGUGUGCGCGCGUCUGCAGGUGUGUGCGCGCGUGUGCGCGUCUGCAGGUGUGUGCGCGCGUGUGCGCGUCUGCAGGUGUGUGCGCGCGUGUGCGCGUCUGCAGGUGUGUGCGCGCGUGUGUCUGUGUCUGUCUGUAAGUGUGUUUGUCCUGUUUCCAUGCCUGCCUGCCUGUCAGAUUGAAUAUAUGUGCUGUAUUCACACCUCACUAAUGAUGUCAUGUCCUCUUCUCCUGUCUCUCCCAAG